AGAGUUUGAUCCUGGCUCAGGACGAACGCUGGCGGCGCGCCUAACACAUGCAAGUCGAACGAGCGAGAGAGAGCUUGCUUUCUCGAGCGAGUGGCGAACGGGUGAGUAACGCGUGAGGAACCUGCCUCAAAGAGGGGGACAACAGUUGGAAACGACUGCUAAUACCGCAUAAGCCCACGGCUCGGCAUCGAGCAGAGGGAAAAGGAGCAAUCCGCUUUGAGAUGGCCUCGCGUCCGAUUAGCUAGUUGGUGAGGUAACGGCCCACCAAGGCGACGAUCGGUAGCCGGACUGAGAGGUUGAACGGCCACAUUGGGACUGAGACACGGCCCAGACUCCUACGGGAGGCAGCAGUGGGGAAUAUUGCACAAUGGGGGAAACCCUGAUGCAGCGACGCCGCGUGGAGGAAGAAGGUCUUCGGAUUGUAAACUCCUGUUGUUGAGGAAGAUAAUGACGGUACUCAACAAGGAAGUGACGGCUAACUACGUGCCAGCAGCCGCGGUAAAACGUAGGUCACAAGCGUUGUCCGGAAUUACUGGGUGUAAAGGGAGCGCAGGCGGGAAGACAAGUUGGAAGUGAAAUCCAUGGGCUCAACCCAUGAACUGCUUUCAAAACUGUUUUUCUUGAGUAGUGCAGAGGUAGGCGGAAUUCCCGGUGUAGCGGUGGAAUGCGUAGAUAUCGGGAGGAACACCAGUGGCGAAGGCGGCCUACUGGGCACCAACUGACGCUGAGGCUCGAAAGUGUGGGUAGCAAACAGGAUUAGAUACCCUGGUAGUCCACACUGUAAACGAUGAUUACUAGGUGUUGGAAGGAUUGACCCCUUCAGUGCCGC
Molecule: ribosomal RNA, 829 nt
Filed under: uncultured bacterium
Lineage: Bacteria
Description: bacterial SSU rRNA
Rfam family: Bacterial small subunit ribosomal RNA
Source: RNAcentral